AUGCUGUUAGUAUAAGUUAUUAUGUUUCUUUUCCAAAGAAAAGAUCUAUUUUUUAGGCGGUAUA
RNAcentral lists this transfer RNA (64 nucleotides) under Taenia ovis (sheep tapeworm). RNAcentral's name for it is "tRNA-Gly". The record is from RNAcentral. Lineage: Eukaryota; Metazoa; Platyhelminthes; Cestoda; Cyclophyllidea; Taeniidae.